RNAcentral lists this ribosomal RNA (420 nucleotides) under uncultured bacterium. RNAcentral describes it as "bacterial SSU rRNA". It matches the Rfam family "Bacterial small subunit ribosomal RNA", at positions 356 to 773 of the family's 1533-position model. The record is from RNAcentral.
GAGGAAUAUUGGGCAAUGGCCGCGAGGCUGACCCAGCCAUGCCGCGUGCAGGAAGAAGGCCCUAUGGGUUGUAAACUGCUUUUGUACGGGAAGAAUAGGCACUACGAGUAGUGAUUUGACGGUACUGUACGAAUAAGCAUCGGCUAACUCCGUGCCAGCAGCCGCGGUAAUACGGAGGAUGCAGGCGUUAUCCGGAUUCAUUGGGUUUAAAGGGUGCGUAGGCGGGCGAUUAAGUCAGUGGUGAAAUCUUUCAGCUUAACUGAGAAACUGCCAUUGAUACUGAUUGUCUUGAGGAUAGUUGAGGUAGGCGGAAUGUGUCAUGUAGCGGUGAAAUGCAUAGAUAUGACACAGAACACCGAUUGCGUAGGCAGCCUGCUGGACUAUGGCUGACGCUGAUGCACGAAAGCGUGGGGAUCGAAC